CCUACGGGCGGCUGCAGUGGGGAAUUUUGGACAAUGGGCGAAAGCCUGAUCCAGCCAUGCCGCGUGAGUGAAGAAGGCCUUCGGGUUGUAAAGCUCUUUCGCAAGGAAAGAAAACUUAUUCGCUAAUACCGGGUGAGGAUGACGGUACCUUGAUAAGAAGCACCGGCUAACUACGUGCCAGCAGCCGCGGUAAUACGUAGGGUGCGAGCGUUAAUCGGAAUUACUGGGCGUAAAGCGUGCGCAGGCGGUUUUGUAAGUCAGAUGUGAAAGCCCCGGGCUCAACCUGGGAACUGCGUUUGAAACUGCAAGGCUAGAGUAUGGGAGAGGGGGGUAGAAUUCCACGUGUAGCAGUGAAAUGCGUAGAGAUGUGGAGGAAUACCAAUGGCGAAGGCAGCCCCCUGGCCUAAUACUGACGCUCAUGCUCGAAAGCGUGGGGAGCAAACAGGAUUAGAUACCCCGGUAGUC
This 465-nucleotide ribosomal RNA is filed under the name uncultured Methylovorus sp. RNAcentral describes it as "bacterial SSU rRNA". It matches the Rfam family "Bacterial small subunit ribosomal RNA", at positions 338 to 795 of the family's 1533-position model. Lineage: Bacteria; Pseudomonadati; Pseudomonadota; Betaproteobacteria; Nitrosomonadales; Methylophilaceae. The record is from RNAcentral.